Molecule: ribosomal RNA, 527 nt
Filed under: Strongylura notata (redfin needlefish)
Lineage: Eukaryota; Metazoa; Chordata; Actinopteri; Beloniformes; Belonidae
Description: partial 12S ribosomal RNA
Rfam family: Bacterial small subunit ribosomal RNA
Source: RNAcentral
GGCGUAAAGAGUGGUUAAGGAAAACUUUAAACUAAAGCCGAAUAUUUUCAUGGCUGUUAUACGCAUCCGAAAGUAAGAAGUUCUACUACGAAAGUGGCUUUAAUCUACCUGACCCCACGAAAGCUGUGAAACAAACUGGGAUUAGAUACCCCACUAUGCACAGCCCUAAACUUUGAUAGUCAAGUACACCCACUAUCCGCCCGGGUACUACAAGCCCUAGCUUAAAAUCCAAAGGACUUGGCGGUGCUUUAGAUCCACCUAGAGGAGCCUGUCCUAGAACCGACAACCCCCGUUAAACCUCACCCUCCCUUGUUUAUUUCCCGCCUAUAUACCGCNGUCGUCAGCUUACCUGUGAAGAUUAAUAGUAAGCAAGACCAGCACAGCUCAAAACGCCAGGUCGAGGUGUAGCGCAUGAGAGGGGAAGAGAUGGGCUACAUUCCCUAACCCAGGUAAUACGAAAAAUGCAAUGAAAAAAGCAUUAGAAGGAGGAUUUAGCAGUAAGAAGAAAACAGAGUGUUCUAAUGAAA